UACGUAGGGUGCAAGCGUUAAUCGGAAUUACUGGGCGUAAAGCGUGCGCAGGCGGUUAUGUAAGACAGAUGUGAAAUGCCCGGGCUUAACCUGGGAACUGCAUUUGUGACUGCAUGGCUAGAGUUUGGCAGAGGGGGGUAGAAUUCCACGUGUAGCAGUGAAAUGCGUAGAUAUGUGGAGGAACACCGAUGGCGAAGGCAAUCCCCUGGGCCUGCACUGACGCUCAUGCACGAAAGCGUGGGGAGCAAACAGG
Molecule: ribosomal RNA, 253 nt
Filed under: uncultured bacterium
Lineage: Bacteria
Description: partial 16S ribosomal RNA
Rfam family: Bacterial small subunit ribosomal RNA
Source: RNAcentral